GGGGGGAUGCCUUCCUUAUCCUGGAUCUUGGCCUUGACGUUCUCGAUGGUGUCACUGGGCUCCACCUCCAGGGUGAUGGUCUUGCCGGUCAGGGGUCUUCACGAAGAUCUGCAUCCCACCUCUGAGGCGAAGGACCAGGUGCAGAGUGGACUCUUUCUGGAUGUUGUAGUCAGACAGGGUGCGCCCAUCUUCCAGCUGUUUGCCGGCAAAGAUCAGCCUCUGCUGGUCUGGGGGGAUGCCCUCUUUUUCUUGGAUCUUCCCCUUGACGUUCUCGAUGGUGUCACUGGGCUCCACCUCCAGGGUGAUGGUCUUACCAGUCAAGGUCUUCACGAAGAUCUGCAUUGUCUGUUGCAACAAAAAAAUUAACACAAAAAAUAACCCCAGCGUUUAACAGAUAAUUCAGAGGUCAACACAUACCUAAUGCUACAAAAUUAUAUGUCACUAUAUACUAACCAAAUGACUAACGUGCCCAAAAACUCAAAAGCUUGACAAAUAAGGUCACAGCCAACGUUUCACGCACUUAAGAAAGAAAAGCAGUCAAUUCGCGGGCCUCACUUACCCUCCCCCCCCACUGGCUGUCUGUCCCCUGCCAACACGGCAGCGACCACCCCAGGCCCAAACCCUGUGCCCCGAGAACAGAAAAACUCUCCCUCCACACAUACCAGCAGGCGGCCCCACCCUCGAUUACGAGCCCACGGAAGGGAUGACGUCUCGUAACCGCGUUGGCGAGCGGGUCCCCUCCCCCCUCGCGGGUGCAGGACGGCUCCGUGGCAUCGGCAGUUACUGUCCCCUUACUGGGACGGGAAACCGAGUUCUCGCUCGAGUCAAACCGUGACCUAAUGUUCGCUUCCCUCACACGCUGCCCAACCCCGUUCCCCAAAAAGCUGGGCCCCGCCGCCACGGAGGCCUCACGGGCCUCUCGCGUCUCUCGCGUUUCCGUUUCACCCGCAGUCCCCUCCCCCGUCCCCCAUCUUCUCUCUCCCACCUCAUAGCCCGCUUCGGAGUCCGGCUUCUCCCACCGAGGGACGGGAAACGGACGCCAUUUUGCCGCGUUCCUCCCUCUCAGGGCUACCCUGCUGCUAGCGGGCCCCGGGUGACUAAAGGCCUCGGCUGCUCCCUCUGCCGCAGCGGGCAAGUCGACACCCCGCGCCCCCCGCGGCCGCGAGACCCCCGGGCCCCCUCCUUACCAAACGGUGGUGACGGCAGCAAACGCAGAAAAACCGCAACUCGGCUUCCAAACUUCACGAAGAUGCCUGCGCACCGCUCCCGCCGGCGCUUCCUUAUAUAGGUACAGGUAGCGCCGCUCCGAUAGAUCCUUCCGCAGAAACGCCGAGAAGGGACUACUUUUCGCAGCCCUCCUGCCCUCUGAAGAGAAACCCCAGACUCAACUAAUUCCACUCAUAAAAUGCUCUCCUGUGAAGACUGGAGCUUUGGGGCCGAAUCUGGCGCGGAGCGGGCCGCCGUCCCGAGAGGCCUGGCGGAGGGAUCAGCGCGCUCGUUGAGCGCUGCGUCCGCGGACUUGCCCCGGGCUCGAAUUAAGGGGAGGGAGAGUGGGGGGCGGGCGGCCUGAAAACCCGGCGUGGAGUCGCUCAGACGUCCGGAGCGGGCCGUCUCCACCGCCCGGCCUUUAUGCCCCCUCCCCCCGGCCCGGACGGGCCCCGCCGUUCGCGAGGCCCGCCCUAGGCGUACAGGGCUCCGGCCGAGCGCCUCACACCGAGUCGGGGUCCCGCUUGCCCAGCGCACACCCCGCCC
This is a long non-coding RNA of Delphinapterus leucas (beluga whale), 1752 nucleotides long. Lineage: Eukaryota; Metazoa; Chordata; Mammalia; Artiodactyla; Monodontidae. The record is from Ensembl.